AUGAUUACGAAGUGAGUAGAAAUAUGUUUCAACACAAUAAUUUUAAUAAUAAAAUAUCAUAAAUGUUCGGAUUUUAUAUCAAGUGUAUGCACGAUUUACUUUAUUGAGGUUGACCAUUGGAGCUAAAAGCUAGUAAAAAGAAGAGAUUGCUAACUCUUUUAUACUACUAAUACUUUGGAGUAUGCCGAAAAGACAGCCAUAAAGCUUAGCAUAUUUCGAUUUUAUUGAUGGAAUUAAAGACGUGAGAAAUAUUUCAAAGUGUCUGCAAAACAUUGUUAUAAAAAAUUUUGCACAGCAAAUGUAUAUGCUCAACGUUAUUUGAUUAGGACCUGAGUCAAGUUUUGAAAGUAAACUAAUGUAUGCUUAUAACAAAAAUUCCAUUAAGCUUCAACAAGACAUUAAUGUUGUGCAAGUUUUAACCAAUAAUAUCCUCCUCUUGUCCUUCUAAAGAACUAAAAUUUAAAUCUACUUGAACAUUAAAAUGUUUAAUUUAGCAUGACAUUCUUCUAUUGCAAAGCUGUAUGAUUGUAUAUCAGCUCACUUCUUAAACGUGGAUAGAAUACCUCUGUUGUUAAUGAUAUAAGGUGUGAAAUUUCCGUAAAAAUUAAAAUUAACAAGUUAGAUAUUAGUAAAUAAAAUGUUGCUUAUGAAAAAGAACUAACUAAACACUAA
Molecule: long non-coding RNA, 672 nt
Organism: Bactrocera latifrons
Lineage: Eukaryota; Metazoa; Arthropoda; Insecta; Diptera; Tephritidae
Exons: 2
Source: RefSeq, a predicted model, not a curated record